GAUAUUUGGGACGCAACUGCAGAGUAGUCAUCCCGUCGUGUGUUGUCCUGAGGAUCCGGCUUGAGUUUCCAGACCCGACCGGACAGUAUCUUGGCUUCCGCCCGCCCCUUGGCUGAACCUGGACUUGUGUCAAGCCACUACUUCCUCUUUUGAGGGACAAAGUCUGAGGCAAGAUCCUUGAGGACUGGUAUUCUCUGAAGCUCCUCAAGAAAUGAUGCGAGGUCCGGGAACCUCUUCAAACACCAGUGCAAUCAAAUCGGCUGUCCUGUAGAGGUUGUUGCUUGCUCGCGUUCAGCAUUUUCAUUGUAAUGAAUCACUGACAGAAACAACCUACAAUACAAAAAGGGAGACACAAGGGAUGUCUUCAUGUGCUCAACUCUUCACACAGCACAUGCAGGUGACAGUCCAGAGGAGAGUCAAAGGUGCAGAUGGUCGCUGGGAAUUGAAGGAUGUUCCUGUUCCCCGAGCUGUCAAAGACUACAACCGGUGCAAAAGUGGGGUCUAGCUCCACAGCCAGAACCAUACAAACUCCUCCUCCAAGUGGAACACACCAUAGGCCAGUGCACAUCAGCAUGGACCGCACCAUUGGUCGGCGAAAGUGCAAGUAUUGUCACAAAAAGACCCCAUUGAAAUGUGCCUCAUAUGAUGUGCCCUUGUGCUUUAUUCCCAAGAGAGACUGUUAUAAUGACUGGCAUGUUGCAAAUAACUUGUAGGAUGUCACUCAUAAAGAUAGUUUGUAAAUAAUGUAAAUAUGUGUGUUUUCUAAAGUUUGCUGUGUUGCAAGAGUUUUCCACAAUAACACUUGUUUCUACUCAUUUUUUACACAGAACGGUAAUGCACGAAGCUAGAAAAAUGCACUUUAAAUGUGUUUAUGCUUCUAUAAAUCUAUUUCAGCAAUACUGAUAGUGAUUCUGAGUAUUGUAUAGCGUAGCUCUAAUUGUUACCUUUUCAUAGAGCCAAGAAUGAUGCAUGUACGUCAAAGCGUUCAGGAGUAGCAGCCUUUUUAUCCCAGGUAUGUCAUCAUGGUUACCAAGGGUCCUUUUGGAGUCUCCAAA
Labrus bergylta (ballan wrasse) is the source of this 1055-nucleotide long non-coding RNA. RefSeq lists it as uncharacterized. NCBI's taxonomy places the organism in Eukaryota, Metazoa, Chordata, Actinopteri, Labriformes, Labridae. The record is from RefSeq and is a predicted model, not a curated record.